GAUGAACGCUGGCGGCGUGCCUAAGACAUGCAAGUCGAGUGGGUUUAGACCCACGGCGAACGGGUGAGUAAUACCUAGGAACUUUCUUUAAGUGGAGCAUAACCAGCCGAAAGGUUGGAUAAUACUUCAUGUGGCAGUAAUGCUAAAGUCGCAAGACGCUUAAAGUGAGGCCUGGGCACCAUCAGCUAGUUGGUAAGGUAAUGGCUUACCAAGGCUAUGACGGUUAGGGUCCCGAGAGGGAUAACCCCCACACUGGAACUAGCGACACGGUCCGAGACUCCUACGGGAGGGCAGCAGUUUGG
RNAcentral lists this ribosomal RNA (302 nucleotides) under uncultured bacterium. RNAcentral describes it as "bacterial SSU rRNA". It matches the Rfam family "Bacterial small subunit ribosomal RNA", at positions 28 to 359 of the family's 1533-position model. The record is from RNAcentral.